RNAcentral lists this transfer RNA (67 nucleotides) under marine eukaryotic metagenome. It matches the Rfam family "tRNA". From Rfam's summary of the family: Transfer RNA (tRNA) molecules are approximately 80 nucleotides in length. Their secondary structure includes four short double-helical elements and three loops (D, anti-codon, and T loops). The record is from RNAcentral.
UGAUGUAGCUCAGCGGUAGAGCAGCUGAUUCGUAAUCAGCAGGUCGCGGGUUCAAAUCCCGCCAUCA